UUGACCUCGGAUCAGGUAGGGAUACCCGCUGAACUUAAGCAUAUCAAUAAGCGGAGGAAAAGAAACCAACAGGGAUUGCCUUAGUAACGGCGAGUGAAGCGGCAACAGCUCAAAUUUGAAAUCUGGCCUCUUUGGGGUCCGAGUUGUAAUUUGGAGAGGAUGUUUCGGGUACGGUCCGGGCUUAAAUUUCUUGGAACAGAAUGUCACAGAGGGUGAGAAUCCCGUCUGGAGUCUGCGACACGGCCUAUGUGAAACUCCUUCGACGAGUCGAGUUGUUUGGGAAUGCAGCUCUAAAUGGGUGGUAAAUUUCAUCUAAAGCUAAAUAUUGGCCAGAGACCGAUAGCGCACAAGUAGAGUGAUCGAAAGAUGAAAAGCACUUUGAAAAGAGAGUUAAACAGUACGUGAAAUUGUUGAAAGGGAAGCGCUGGCAACCAGACUUGCGCGUCGGGGUUCCCCCUUGCUUCUGCCUGGGUUACUCCCCGGCGUUCAGGCCAACAUCGGUUUUGGGGGUCGGUUAAAGGCCUUGGGAAUGUACCUACCUCUCGGGGUAGACUUAUAGCCCAGGGUGUCAUGCGACCUCCCGGGACCGAGGAACGCGCUUCGGCUCGGAUGUUGGCGUAAUGGUUGUCAGCGACCCGUCUUGAAACACGGACCAAGGAGUCUAACAUCUAUGCGAGUGUUAGGGUGUCAAACCCUUACGCGGAAUGAAAGUGAACGGAGGUAGGAAGCCGUAACAACGCUGCACUAUCGACCGAUCCUGAAGUUUACGGAUGGAUUUGAGUAAGAGCAUAGCUGUUGGGACCCGAAAGAUGGUGAACUAUGCCUGAAUAGGGUGAAGCCAGAGGAAACUCUGGUGGAGGCUCGCAGCGGUUCUGACGUGCAAAUCGAUCGUCAAAUUUGGGUAUAGGGGCGAAAGACUAAUCGAAC
RNAcentral lists this ribosomal RNA (927 nucleotides) under Chaetothyriales sp. M-Mo9. RNAcentral describes it as "eukaryotic LSU rRNA". It matches the Rfam family "Eukaryotic large subunit ribosomal RNA", at positions 1 to 940 of the family's 3401-position model. The record is from RNAcentral. Lineage: Eukaryota; Fungi; Ascomycota; Eurotiomycetes; Chaetothyriales.